RNAcentral lists this ribosomal RNA (253 nucleotides) under uncultured bacterium. Its description in RNAcentral is "partial 16S ribosomal RNA". It matches the Rfam family "Bacterial small subunit ribosomal RNA", at positions 524 to 776 of the family's 1533-position model. The record is from RNAcentral.
UACAGAGGGUGCGAGCGUUAAUCGGAAUUACUGGGCGUAAAGCGCGCGUAGGCGGCUUUGCAAGUCGGGUGUGAAAUCCCCAGGCUUAACCUGGGAACUGCAUUCGAGACUGCAUUGCUAGAGUAUGGGAGAGGGAAGUGGAAUUUCCGGUGUAGCGGUGAAAUGCGUAGAUAUCGGAAGGAACGCCGGUGGCGAAAGCGGCGUGCUGGACCCCUUCUGACGCUGAGGCGCGAAAGCCAGGGGAGCAAACGGG